This 718-nucleotide ribosomal RNA is filed under the name Pseudodiaptomus coronatus. RNAcentral describes it as "eukaryotic LSU rRNA". It matches the Rfam family "Eukaryotic large subunit ribosomal RNA", at positions 38 to 667 of the family's 3401-position model. The record is from RNAcentral. Lineage: Eukaryota; Metazoa; Arthropoda; Copepoda; Calanoida; Pseudodiaptomidae.
GCAUAUUAAUAAGCGGAGGAAAAGAAAACAACUGUGAUUCCCUUAGUAAUGGCGAAUGAAACGGGAAGAGCCCAUCGCCGAAUCGCUGGCCAUCUCGGUCCUGCGAAAUGUGGCGUUUGGGAGGGUCUUCCACGGAUGGACCGCCAGUCAAAGUCCAACUUGACAGUGGCCACAGCCCAUAGAGGGUGAUAGGCCCGUAAGGCGGCGGUCCGACCGUGCUGGCCACCUCCCUCGAGUCGGAUUGCUUGGGAGUGCAGUCCAAAGUGCGAGGUAAACUCCUCGUAAGGCUAAAUAUAACCCCGAGACCGAUAGCAAACAAGUACAGUGAUGGAAAAUUGAAAAGAACUUUGAAGAGAGAGUUAACAGUACGUGAAACUGUGCGGUGGUAAACAGAGGCGCACUCGAAGUGUCCGGAGGGGGCUCAGGCCUGGGUUUCGGCGGCCCUGGCGGAAUGAUCCGAUAGGACGUUCCGUUGGGCGUCGGCUGGCUCCCAAGCCGCAUUUCCCCUCCGGUUUACGGCAGGAACCGUUGGGAUCGGAUCGAUGGCUCGGGAUGAAGCGUGGGCUUUCCUUCGGGUUGGCCCAAGCUCUCGGUGUCCUGGCUCCGAACCCGACGGGCCCAUGGCGUGGACUUGUACAGCAAGCGAUUGUCUGUCGCGGUUCGCCCGUCUCUGCCGAGUAGGUCGGCGGCGCCUCUKACCCGUCUUGAAACACGGACC